UGGAAAACUCUGCCCCUACCGCAAAAUCUCUCUCUCUUUCCCUCCCCCACAAAGAGGCUCCCUUAUCUCUCACUUUACAUACCGGCCCUAGCCCUCCCGCCGCCCAGCUUCCCGCCCAGCAGUUCAAACUGACCAACAGUUGCCCACCACCUCGGCUUUUGGCUUCCCCACCCCCCAGCCCUUCAGCCCCCUAUAAAACAACCCUGCCCCUCUGAGCAGCGCGGCCAUUUUUCCUUUUCGUCCCGGCUGGCCUGCCCGGAGGCUCUUUCCUCUCAAUAAAGCCUGAACUUAAGGAAUUUCCUCUAGCCUGCGGUCCGGUUUCUUUCCCAAUGAGCCCAGUCUUCCCGCAGAGGGUAGGUCGGACAAAUGGUGCCGGAAACCCGGGACGGGAGCUGAGGCCAUUGGCCCGGCCACGGCCCCCCUCCCCGACCUACCCAACACUGGCCCUGCCACCUCCACAUUCCGAUUAAGCCGAAUUCCAGAUGCUGCAAACUCCCCAUCGCUGCACCCGAUGAGCUGCCUUCCUACCCAUUGCCGUUGGAGUCUCCCUUGCUGGUUCAGCACUUGCAGCAGGAUUAGGAGGAGGGGCACUAGUCCACUCUCACCUGGCCAUAGCCCGACUGACCUCACAACUCCAAGCGGCUAUUAAUGACUCUACUGAGUCUUUAGCAUCACUCCAAUGACAGAUCACCUCAGUUGCCCAAGUUGCCUUGCAGAACCGAAGAGCCCUGGACCUGCUCACUGCUGAACGAGGAGGGACCUGUAUCUUCCUACAAGAAGAGUGCUGUUACUACAUCAAUGAAUCCGGCCUAGUAGAAACCCGAAUCGAGAGCCUCCAGAAACUCAAAACUAACCUGUAGAGUCAGAAGUUCUCGGCUGAAGCCACAGCGUGGUGGUCUUCCUCUAUGUAUACCCUCUUGUCACCAUUGCUUGGGCCCCUAAUAGCCGUUUGCCUAAUCUUACUUAUUGCUCCUUGCUUUCUCCAGUUCCUACAGCGGCUCUUUCAAGAACUGACUGGAGUCACCAUCCACCAGAUGCUGCUCCAACCCCACCCUGAACGAGUGCAAGAAACAGACCUCUCCCCAAACCUCCAGGCUCCUUAGGAAAAGAAACCUCUUCAGAACCCCCCGUCGACCCUUGUCAGCAGGAAGUAGCCAGAGAGACAACCGACACCCCUGACCCCCUCUUUUUCUUUUCUUUAAGGAGUCGGGAAUGUUUGGAAAACUCUGCCCCUACCGCAAAAUCUCUCUCUCUUUCCCUCCCCCACAAAGAGGCUCCCUUAUCUCUCACUUUACAUACCGGCCCUAGCCCUCCCGCCGCCCAGCUUCCCGCCCAGCAGUUCAAACUGACCAACAGUUGCCCACCACCUCGGCUUUUGGCUUCCCCACCCCCCAGCCCUUCAGCCCCCUAUAAAACAACCCUGCCCCUCUGAGCAGCGCGGCCAUUUUUCCUUUUCGUCCCGGCUGGCCUGCCCGGAGGCUCUUUCCUCUCAAUAAAGCCUGAACUUAAGGAA
This is a long non-coding RNA of Callithrix jacchus (white-tufted-ear marmoset), 1513 nucleotides long. RefSeq lists it as uncharacterized. NCBI's taxonomy places the organism in Eukaryota, Metazoa, Chordata, Mammalia, Primates, Cebidae. The record is from RefSeq and is a predicted model, not a curated record.